AAACCCCUACACAAAAGCCCGUACAUAGUUAUAACCCAUAAUUGAGAUCAGAAUGACAAGGUUGAAUUUUUUCAAAAGAUCAGAUAGUUGAGGAGUCAGGGAGAUCAAUUCAUGGAGGUAUCGGCAGUGUGUUAAACCACCUUUGCAUGAGAGAGGAGGAUAGGGACGGCGAUGAAGAUCUAUAGCUCAGUAUCUUGUCCCUGAUCAGACGAUCCAAGGAGGAGAUAAUCAUGUCUGAUGAUUGGAACCGCUGACUUUGGAGCCGCUGAUUCCGCUCACGCCACAAAAAGUAGAUCACCGCUUGCCAACAUAAGAG
RNAcentral lists this long non-coding RNA (316 nucleotides) under Brassica rapa (field mustard). Its description in RNAcentral is "long non-coding RNA (BRAP_LNC004861)". Lineage: Eukaryota; Viridiplantae; Streptophyta; Magnoliopsida; Brassicales; Brassicaceae. The record is from RNAcentral.